GGGCGGUUAGCUCAGUUGGUUAGAGCGUCUGCCUUACAAGCAGAAGGUCAGAGGUUCGAGUCCUCUACCGCCCACCA
Molecule: transfer RNA, 77 nt
Filed under: Bryobacteraceae bacterium
Lineage: Bacteria; Pseudomonadati; Acidobacteriota; Terriglobia; Bryobacterales; Bryobacteraceae
Description: tRNA-Val
Rfam family: tRNA
About the family: Transfer RNA (tRNA) molecules are approximately 80 nucleotides in length.
Source: RNAcentral